AAGGGAUCGCCAAGCGAAGACGGGUACAGGGUGGAUGCCUAGGGGCCAAGUGCCGACGAAGGGCGCGGAGCGCGGCGAAACGUGCCAGGGGAGCUGCAUGCGAGCGAUGAGCCUGGCGAACCCGAAUGGGGCAACCCGUGGCGGUGCGAGCCGUCACAUCCAUGGCUGAAUGCAUAGGUCAUGCGAAGGGCACCGGGGGAACUGAAACAUCUCAGUACCCCGAGGAAGCGAAAUCAAAGAUGAGAGGGCCGGAGUAGUGGCGAGCGAAACGGUCUGAGCCCAAACCGGUGGGGGUCUCGCAAGGGACCGUUGCCGGGGUUGUAGGGCACGACAGGUUGCAAGACCACCUGCCGGACGUGGGGAGCAGCCGAAGGGUUCUGGAAAGGCCCACCAGAGCGGGUGAGAGUCCCGUAGGCGACGCUGGACCACGGGGGCGGGGUCGUGACCCUGAGUACCACGGGACACGUGAAAUCCUGUGGGAAGCUGGGGGGACCACCCUCCAAGGCUAACUACACUUGGCCACCGAUAGGGAACGAGUACCGUGAGGGAAAGGUGAAAAGCACCCCGCGAGGGGAAUGAAACAGACCCUGAAACCCUGUACUUACCAGCAGUCGGAGGGCGUUGUGCCGUCCCGCCUCUCGUGGGCGGGCGUGCGCAGCCUGACGGCGUGCCUUUUGAAGAAUGAUCCGGCGAGUUCAUGUUGGCAGCGUCCCGUUACCGGGAGCGAGGUUAAGCGGCAGCAAGCGCCGUGGAGCCGCAGCGAAAGCGAGUCUGAACAGGGCGUUGUGCGCAAGCACGCAGUCGUUGCCAGGAUGAGACCCGAAACCGGGUGAGCUAUCCAUGGGCAGGGUGAAGCGGGGGUAAGACCUCGUCGAGGCCCGAACUCACCAGUGUUGCAAAACUGGGGGAUGACCUGUGGAUAGAGGAGAAAUUCCAAUCGAACCCGGAGAUAGCUGGUUCUCCCCGAAAUGUAUGGAGGUACAGCCGUUGCUAGCGGGUAGCCACUCCCGCGUAUUGAAGCCUGCCUGGGAGGUAGGGCGCUGGCUGGGCUCGGGGCGCUCUGCGCGUUACCAACCCCAACCAAACCAUGAAUGCCCAGGUGAGGCGCGGCAACGAGUGAGGUGGCGGGGGCUAACCUUCGUCAUCAAGAGGGAAACAACCCAGACCGCCGGCUAAGGUCCCCAACUAUCCGCUGAGUGGGAAAGGUUGUGGCGUUGCGCAGACAGCCAGGAGGUUGGCUUAGAAGCAGCCAUCCUUGAAAGAGUGCGUAAUAGCUCACUGGUCGAGUGGCACCGCGCCGACAACGUAACGGGGCUGAAGCGGAUGACCGAAGCCGCGGAACGGUUCUGAAUGGAGCCGUUGGUAGGGGAGCGUUCGGGAGUAGCAGAGAAGCCAGAGCGGAAGCACUGGUGGAGCGAACCGAAGUGCGAAUGCCGGAAUGAGUAGCGUCAAUGAGUGUGGAAACCACUCACACCGCAAGCCUGAGGGUUCCGGGGCAACGGCAGUCGUCCCCGGGUCAGUCGGGACCUAAGCCGAGGCCGCACGGGCGUAGGCGAUGGCAAGCAGGUUGAGAGUCCUGCACGUGCGCGACUGGGAGCGAAGGGGGGACGCGGUAGCCAGCGUGAGCCGGGCGAAUGGACAGGCCCGGUAGGGCACGGAAGGUGGGGUUCCAGGCAAAUCCGGGACCCGAUUGAACACCGCACGUGCUCGCGAGUCGCCGUUGAGGCGACGGAAGUCACGCCGUGGGCAGAUCGCCGAGAAAAGCCUCUAAGCGGAUAAAAGACCAGCAGCGCACCCCGUACCGCACACCGACACUGGUGGGCUGGGGUAAGCACCCCAAGGUGGACGAGCGAUCCUCGGUUAAGGAACUCGGCAAAUUAGCCCCGUAACUUCGGGAGAAGGGGCGCCCCGGCAGCGUAGGCUGGAUUCUCUUCGGAGGGUGCCAGUUGAGCGUGAGGGGGCCGCAGAGAAAAGGCUCAAGCGACUGUUUACCAAAAACACAGGUCUCUGCCACGGCGCAAGCCGACGUAUAGGGGCUGAUGCCUGCCCAGUGCCGGAAUGUUAAGGGGAGGGGUGUACGUAGCCUCGAACCGAAGCACCGGUAAACGGCGGCCGUAACUAUAACGGUCCUAAGGUAGCGAAAUUCCUUGUCGGGUAAGUUCCGACCCGCACGAAAGGCAUAACGACUUGAGCACUGUCUCGACCGAGGGCUCGGCGAAAUUGAAGUACCCGUGAAGAUGCGGGUUUCCCGCGACAGGACAAAAAGACCCCGUGGAGCUUUACUACACCUUGGUCUGGGCGCGAGGCCAGGCCUGCGUAGGAUAGGUGGGAGCCGGAGAAGCGUUGCUUGUGGGCGGCGUGGAGGCAGCAGUGAAAUACCACUCUUGCGUGGACUUGCGUCUCAUGGUGGGCCGUGAGCCGGCCACCAGACAGGGCCAGGCGGGUAGUUUGACUGGGGCGGUCGCCUCCCAAAAGGUAACGGAGGCGCCCAAGGGUUCCCUCAGGGUGAAUGGACACCACCCGCGCGAGUGCAAUGGCACAAGGGAGCUUGACUGCGAGGCCAACCAGCCGAGCAGGGACGAAAGUCGGGCAUAGUGACCCAACGGUGCGGAGUGGAACGGCCGUUGAUCAACGGACAAAAGCUACCCCGGGGAUAACAGGCUUAUCUUGCCCAAGAGUUCAUAUCGACGGCAAGGUUUGGCACCUCGAUGUCGGCUCGUCGCAUCCUGGGGCUGGAGUCGGUCCCAAGGGUUGGGCUGUUCGCCCAUUAAAGCGGCACGCGAGCUGGGUUCAGAACGUCGUGAGACAGUUCGGUCUCUAUCCGUCGCGGGCGGAGGAAUCUUGCGGGGCGUCGCUCCCAGUACGAGAGGACCGGAGUGGCUGGACCGCUGGUGUGCCGGUUGGCCUGCCCAGGCCAGCGCCGGAUAGCCAUGUCCAGAAAGGAGAAGCGCUGAACGCAUCUAAGCGCGAAGCCGACCCCAAGAUGAGGAUUCCCGUCUCAGACCCUCGUGGUCUGGGCCGAAGACCCCACGUAGAUGACGUGGUUGCUAGGUCGGAGGUGUACGCACGGUAACGUGCUCAGCCAACCGCCCCUAAUGGUCAAGUGGCUUGGCAUC
RNAcentral lists this ribosomal RNA (3116 nucleotides) under Ktedonobacterales bacterium. Its description in RNAcentral is "23S ribosomal RNA". It matches the Rfam family "Bacterial large subunit ribosomal RNA". The record is from RNAcentral. Lineage: Bacteria; Bacillati; Chloroflexota; Ktedonobacteria; Ktedonobacterales.